GAAAGCGUAAGAGAAACAAAAAAACGUAGACCUGCAACGAUCCCUAACUCUAGAGUCAAAGAAAAGCUUUAAUAAGAAGAAAACUUAAGAAAACUCUACCUAAAUUUAAAAAAAAAAAACAAAAAUCGAAAACGUUUGGUGUCUUAAGAUUUUCAAAAAUUGAAGCUUUAAUUAUACUUUAGUCAAGAAAAGAAAAAGGAAAAGAAAUUCAAUUUUGGGAAAAAUAAAAAUAAAAAUAAAAAUAAAAAUAAAAACAAUAAUAGGAAAAGAAGAAACCUAAGUAUGAAAGGUAGGCAACUUUUUUUUUUGCGCUUUUUGCUUCUUCUUUUUCUAUUUUUUUAGCUCCAAAAAUAACACCGAAUGGCCUGAAACUGAUACCAACUGAUGCGGAAA
This 393-nucleotide long non-coding RNA is filed under the name Gossypium raimondii (Peruvian cotton). RNAcentral describes it as "long non-coding RNA (GRAI_LNC001719)". Lineage: Eukaryota; Viridiplantae; Streptophyta; Magnoliopsida; Malvales; Malvaceae. The record is from RNAcentral.